This 7649-nucleotide long non-coding RNA is filed under the name Lynx pardinus (Iberian lynx). The record is from RNAcentral. Lineage: Eukaryota; Metazoa; Chordata; Mammalia; Carnivora; Felidae.
AUAUUGCGGCAGCGCAACUUAAAAGGGGGAGCCGGGCGGCGUAGGAGGUGAGAGCCGCCGCAAAAAUCGCUCGGCUGCAUUUUCUCUUCAAACUGGCCUGGUCGGAUGUGGCAUUUGAAGAAAGAAGGCGUGGGUCAAUAAUCAACCCGCACUUUCUCCUCCAAACUGCUGACACGACUCUCACCGCCUUCUCAGCUAAGCCAGCUGCAGGGAAGGCCAGCUUUCCGUGAGAACCUGCCAGGGGAGGGGACCGCCUGGGCCAAGAGGGCCGAGGGUUCCGAGGUGAGGGCUGGGGCAUCUGGGGCGCAUACCUUUUCACCCGCACCAAGACUGUGCUGGGCAAAAUGCUGGGACUGGACUUGAAGAGCCAUGGGAGUUGAGGGAGAGCUGGGGUGGGAGCUUGGGACAGGGUCUCUGCUGGAUGGUCCCAGACUAGAUGGCUUCCGGGCAGCUGGCUGCAGUGGGCACAAAUCUGGCUCUGACCUCAAGACUGGUCUCACACCCUGGCAUGCAGACCUCCGGGUUUGGGCCUCUCUGCUGAAAUCCACAGGACUGGCUUUUAGAGCAAGGCAGGUGAUGUGAUUAAAGGUAAUAAUUUAUGAUUGCUGAAGGUUCUGUGUUACUGUUUUUUAAGAGAAAAAUACCGCCUGCCGAUUUUCACUGCCAGAAAUUGCCCACUGCUGCGGCUGCGGUGUCUUUUCUAGGCAAAUCCCGCAGCCAUUCACCCUGUUCAGCCAAAACCACUGAGGUUAUCUUUGUGGAAAGGACCCCUUUGCUCCCCCAAACCCCCCUCCUCAGUCCCUGUGCUCCCUUAUGUCUUGCCCACGGGGACUAGAAGAAAACAUUUUCCCAGUGCUAGAAAAAUAUCUGAAAUAGCGAAGGUGUGCUUGUGCCUCUCUACCCUUUGCAGGGGCCUCCUUGAGAACAGGUCUGCGGGUUGGGGGGGGGGGCGCUGGGGUCCCUGCAAGGCUGUCUAUAAGCCAGGGAGGAAGGUAAGGCACAAGAGGCACUGAAAUCUGGGAAUGGAGAGGGAAAUUAAUGAGGAAAUACACUUGCCUGUGAGGUUGAGGCUGGCAUUUUGAGGGUAAAAGGGGACUAGCCUGUUUUUUAUAGCUGUAGUUUAGCUAUUAUGGAGUGGCUUUAGCUCCUUGCGUGAAGGAAAAACCAACUGGUGCUCUAUAAACUGGACUACUGGUUUCUUUUCACUGUGCACACUUUUAUACAGAACCAGUUUGAGAGUCCAUCCCUAGAUAUUUAUUCCGCUGGCUGGCACUGAAGUGACAAUAAAAAGAUGCCUUUAACAAACCUCUAUUCCCUCUCUCAUUCUUUCUAGCGAAACUAUAUUAUUUAUGAGUCUUUAACUGGGUCAAAAAUGCGCCAGAACUGGGUCAUAAAUCAUAUGAAAUGCUGACAAGUAAUUGAACAGCAAUUAAAGCUUACAUUUUAUUUCCAAGGGGUGUUUUAGGGCACUUGAAACCGCCUCAGUUAAACACGGUUAGCGCCCGAGGACGGCAGCGGGGGAGGGUAGAAGCAGCCUUUCCCUUCUGGGGAUGUAAAUCCCUCUCUAGUAGGGGAAACCUGAUUUGAUUUUUUUUUUUCAAGUACAGAAAGAAAUAAGAUUUUUUUUUGUUUAAGUCACGGAGAAAAUCUGAUUCCCGACUCCUUGUAGACACCCCUUUCCUCCACCCCAAGAUCUCCAAGAGCAGAGAAAAGUGAAGUUUCCUUCACCGUUUCAGGGAGUUUUCAUCCUUCCCAGGAGUGCUGGGUCUCCAAAGUGCAAUUAGCACAGGCUUUCCCAGUAAUUUGCAAGCAUGGUUUAUCUCUCAUCUGCUUCUAUCCUGGCUACAGCACUGUUUCUGGGGUCUGAAGCCGGAGAAAUGUCUGCCUCUGCUUCCUGCGGACUCUGCCUCGAAUUCUCUCUAGCCCAGGGUGCACCAGCCAGUCCUUAAAACUCUGCAAGCCAGCUGGGUGCAUUACAAUGGGGCAUACAGGCCAUGCACAUUAUGAAGCCCAAACCCAGUUCUGGCUCCCGAAAUUUAGACUAACAGAGCUUCUGGGCGUCGGGCACGCUUACCCCUAUCCUAAGCCUCUCCUAGAUCUGAACUGUCUUCACCCCUACCCGGGUAGAGUCCUGGGGAAACAAUGGCGCGUCCUCCGUCCUCCGGGUCUUGCACCUUCGGUCCCGCGCGUGGGAAAGCGCGUCCUCCAACCAACCCAGCACUGAACAAAGUGGCCUGAAGCAUCAUCAAUAAAAUGGCAGCGCGUCUGCACACUCAUUGAUUUCCCUCUCCCAGCUGCUCUGGCUGCCUAGGUCAGCCCUACCUCUCCAUCCCUGGCCGCCAGCAAACGCGGCCAAGCCUGGAGAGAUUCCCCUUCCCAUCCACCCAGCCCCCACCCCCUCCAGGCCGUCUCGCCGAGCAAGCGCCGCGCGGGCCACCUCGGCCAGAGCCGCUGCUUCGGGACCCUCCCUCCGCCUGCGGCUCAGCUCCUGGGACUCAAGCCCCGCUGCAGUGGACAAAGCCGCCAGAGCGCUGGAGGCCACCGGGCUCACCUCGCAGCCCCCAAGCGCCCUUUCCUUUACAUCCCCCUACACUUUCCAGAGAAUUAAACUCAGUCUGAGGUGCUACUGGAGAUCUUUCAGAUGGUUUCGGUUCUAUGAGAGAAACAAAGGAAGAGAGGGGCUGAGGGUCCUGUCGGUGAACCAGGGUCUCCUCGCCUGACCUUUGUCUCUCACAGCCGUAACUCACUCUAAAUAUGAACAAUCGGCGGAAAUACCUUAAAAUAAAUUCCAUCCUCCUGGUGUGGCCUCGAGUCCCAUCGGCUAGCUCGCCCAGAACCGCUCCAUGAGCGCUGAAAACUGCAACCCGCUAGGAGAGCGCUCUCCGGAGAAGGGGAAGGAGAAGGAGGAGGUGGGUGCGUGGGGGUGGGGGGAAAAAGCUCUCGCUCUGUAGAGAAUCUAGAAAACGUAAUCACAGGCGAAGCCCGCCCGGGUCUCCGCUCCAAAUGCCACAAUAAUGCGCUGUAUUAUGUGCUCACGUGGUCAUACGUCAACUUAAAUCCUUUUAUUUGAAAUAGGAAAUCACUGAAGGGACUAGGUUUCCAAGCAGAACAUUCAGCUUUGGGGGAGGGGAAGUGGGGAACCUUGCCCAGCAGUGGGGAAGAGUUUCAUCUAGGGCAGUAGGACGCUGGGGGCACCCCCCCCCCAACAUGUGCCACACUGGGCCACUUAUCUCCACUUAUAUUUCUGUACAAAUGAUCCAAACAGCAAUGCUGUCCCCAUUCUCAGAGUCUAUGUAACUUUCUGUACAGUCUUCCACACGCAGACAAGCUGAAGCCUGCACACCCAAGCACGCCAGUCUCCUCUGGCCUGCUAGCCAGUACGUCAAAAGGCAAGGCCCGGGCCCUGUUUCCAGAAGAAAACCCAGUAAUGACUGGCUUAGUCAGUGGACUCCCUCAUGGCCUGCCAUUGUAUGGAGUUUGCUACCACCCACGCCAAAAGGCCCCAAAUUACCUGACAAAAGGCUAAGUUGAUUUUGUUCAAUGGGAGCCCUCUAGGGAAGAGGUGCUUGCCUCUAGAGUGGUGGGUCAGGGUUUUGCAAAAUCUGGAGGGACUCAGUGCCCUGGCUAAACCUACACUUGCGUACUUCCUCAGUGCACAGCUGAGCGAUACAUGAAAUUAUAGGCUUCUAACAAUGGAAAAUGUAAGGGGAAAUGAUCUAAUUGACUCUGUAAGAGAAAAACUAUAUAUACAACCAAUCUUUGCUGGCAUCCCUUGAAUUAACCUACAAGGUAACCUGGGACCCUUUUGCAGAUGGGUCUGUCCACCCUCCCCUAAGACAAGUCUGUCCACCAGCAGAAAAUGAACAGGACCAACUCUGCUCUGGAGCAACUGAGCUGAACCAACCCCCCCCCCCCCGGCCCUGCCCUGCUUCUACUCCUGACUUCUGCUUGGUGACACUGUCUACUGAUUGUAACACUUCACCCUCUCAGGACCUGCCUUAAAAGUUUCUCUUUUCAGGUCUUAGUUUCUGAACUUCUUAGUUUCUGAAGUGGUGGGCUCCUGGUGCCUUAUUCUUUUCUUUCUUUAGAGUGGAUCUUCAGCUGGCUAGGCCUCUCUAAGAGUGAGGACUCACUUAUAGCAGCUACAGGAUUCCUCCUCCUCCUCUUCUGCCCUGCAGGGGCCUAGUGAGAAUGUAAGGCCCUCAGUAAGGGGGCCUGGUCACGGGGGUGUCCAAAUCAGAAGGGCAAUAAAAGAGGAGGAGACCUAAUCCUUUGGAAGUGAGCCCUGGCCUACGCUGGUGGCAGUAUUCCAACAAAGUUCUGUCUGUGGUAGAGCUGGGAGAGAACCUCUCUGUGAACUGACCCAACUCUGACCUAAGCCACAAGCUGGAAAGUGAGAACCCAAAGUGCAAACCUACUUCUCUCAGGUAUGGGGUGUGGGGGAUAGAACCAAAGGCCGGUUUCCCAAAAAGCACUCUGCCGUCCCCCAAGGACUCACACAACUAACACAUUGUCCUCUGCUCCCCUUAUGCAGUCCCCCCACCCUGCCUGUGCCAAAUAUUUCACACCGAACUCUCCAGGUAGCCUAGAAAGGACCUGGAAGUAUUGCCAAAUUGCUGGCAAACUCCCAUCUCCCCCAACCAAAGUUUCUGCAGAGACUUCAACUCAAAGAUGAGAAGGGGCCCCCUUCAGAACUCUCAGAACAGUCUGGAGCAAAUCGUAACUCCGAGGCCAUAAAUCAAUGAGAGAAGUAUUUGGUACUGCUUCAGAGAAAUGCCUUAACGCCAGGAAGGCCCAGCGGCAUCUCGGCUCUAGCCAGGAGCCUCCAUUGCCGCUAUUAACAGCCCAGUUAAUGCUCCAACUGCUGUUUAACAAUUAACAUUAACGACUUGGGUUGGAAUGGGGUGAUUUGGUGGGAUGUGGAGGAAAAAAUCUGAGGAAGUCAAAAGAAAUUUAACUUUUGAGGUGAAAAUGGCUUUCCUAAGAGAGACCUUGGUCUGGGCAGGCCACCAGGGAACCAGCAGCUGAGAGUCCUCCCUCACCACUCUGAAAUCCACUCUCCUUGAACAAGGCUAUGGACCUUUUAAAGUUCAUUUCCAGAGAACGAGAAUAGAGAUACUCAAGUAUCGAAGCCCAGCCGGGAAAAUCUAGCUACCGGUCCCCCCUUCCACUCCAGCCCCCAACCUGGCCAGGGCUGGGGACACAUGCCCUGAAUCCAUUUCACCAGAGCCAAAAGUUGUCUUGGAAGGAGCAGGUGAGCAUGGAUACAGGGCUUUAGUCAAUAUUUGCAAGGCUGUUGGCAGAUUAGAUAUAUCUGUAUCCAAACACUGCAAUCUGAUUUCUCUGUCAAAAAUACACUUAACAUUUUUCUCCCUUUAGUUAGCUCUAGUGGUUUUUCUUAGUGGCUGGUAAGGCCUGCUUAGCCCACUUUUGUCUGUGUGUGUGUGCGUGUGUGUAUGUGUAUGUGUGUGUGUGUGUGUGUGUGUGUGUGUGUGUGUGUAUGUAGGUUAUAUAUCAUUAUUUAACAUGAGAUAUUUCCUGUGGGUGCAACUGCAGUACAAAUGGGCUCCAAGUUCUCUGGACACAUAUGGAUGUGUAUAUCAUUUUAUACACAUGGUCUCCAACUCCUGUGACUAUGUACACAUGCAGUGAUUCUGUUGUGUGCAGAGAUUCAAAUCAUAUGUACACAGUGAGUUGCAAAUUCCUAAAAUACUCAACCUAUAUUUGAUAAUAAAUAGACAUACAGGAGCUGAGAAAGUAACCCAGGUUUACUAUCCCCCUGUUUACCUUCUAUCUGAUAAGAUAAUAAUUGUAUCCAGAACAACAUAUCAGCCUUACAGCAUCACUGAAUAGCAUGUUGCACUUAAUUAACAACCUGAUAUCUAUUUGGGGAGCAAAUUUUAGGGAAGACUGAGGCCCGCGGAAUAGAAAACAAAAACUCAGAAAACUUUUUAAAAUAAAUAACUCCUGAAAGAACAAAGCAAACCCAUUCCUUCAUACCAAGCUUCUGAAAGCUAUUCCAACAGCCCCUCCCCCAAACAGGCACAAAAUUUAUGGAUCUUUUACAAGGUAAUAAACCACAGUAAUUACCUCCCUGCAUCCCAAACUAAGAGAACAAAUUAAGCCAGAACUUGGAAAGAAUUUUAAAGAGUCUUCCCUUGUUUCCAGUAGGAAAAGAAAACGCAGAGACCUGGGAAACGCGUGCUUUUCCCGUAGGAAAAAGAGCAGUUCCGCCCACCUAAAGGAACGGAGAAGACCCGCUGCCUGCGACGGUCUACACAUUCGAAAGGCAGCAACCUCCCUCAUGCCGCGGAAAGGCAAAAGGAUAGGAGAAACUGCAAGGCGGCGAGACAAGUUUCCUCAACGCAGAUCUGUGACUGACGACCAUUCCCGAACUCACAGUCUCCGCGGGCGCCGCAAACAGUCGACAGGGAGCGCGGCCCACGCAGCGGCCGCCGCACCCGUGGCCUCUACUUGCUUCUGCCCUGCUGCUCGGUGUAGGGGUUUGUUUGGAGCUCGCUCGAAGAAACAAACACGCUCCUCUGACACCCCCGGCCGCCCCCGCACGCACAUCUUCGGUCUCUGCAACCGCCCCGCCUGCACAGUGCCGGCCGUUUUUCGGGGCAGACUCUUUGUCUGCCUGAAACCCCGCAUUCCCGGGGCGUGCAGCGCAAGAGAACCCAGCUCCAAAACGUCUCCGAGGUUAAAUAUUGACCAGAACCUCCUUCAAGGGGCUGCAGCUGCCUGGACGAGGAAACUCCUUCCAAAGGCCCGUGCAAAGCCCGGAGGAGUGAAGAGUUGGCGCAGCGCUUACCUCGAAAGAUGUUUAAGACUGAACCAGUGAUUGUCUCCAACUCCGGGCACUCAGGGAAUCGCCUUUUCCGGUGUCCUGGCGCUCUGCGGACAAAUAAACAGCAGAGAGUAAACGGUGGCUGCGAAGGAAGGGAGCUGGAGAACCGGAGUUGGAAGUGCGGCCCUGCACGGGCGCCAGGGUGGCCCCCGGGGUGACGCGGACACGGAGGAGUCGCCAGGGCACUCGUCCAUGAGGCGCACUCGUUGCUCGAAAGGGUCCAGUCUAAGAAUGGCCUGCAGAUGAUGAUUUAUUUUUGUAAAAUAAAUACAUACUCCAUCUCCGCACCCACAUUCUCCUCUUUCUUUCUUUUUACGGGGGCUGGGAUGGGGGAAGGGGGUAGGGAGAAGAAAAUGGAUAGGCGGAGGAAGAUGGGAAGGUGGAAGAAGCUUUGCCGUUGGUGCCAGCUCUGCUCCAAGAGCUCCUCACGCACCUCAACUUGGGGAAUGUGAAUGCACGCUUUAUUUUCUUUCGCUAACAAAGGGAAGCCCUGUCUGGGAGCAUUCAAUCACAGACUCUCUUGAAACCUCGCUAAUAGUGCUCAUUUCUGUUUGACUCGAAAUCAGACCCCGGCGCAGUCUUUGGGCUGGGGGGCAGUCUUGAGAGGUUUUGUCUUCUGGUUUAUUCAAGCCCUGGGUGCCUCACUUCUCGGUCCCAGUGGGCUGGCGGGACCACCGCAGCGCCCAGUCCCUAAGAGUAGGCCAACUGCGGCUGGUUGGAAAUAGGGGAAGACUAGGAAGGAUGCAGACAUCUGACAAUACCCGAUCUGGGGGCCCUAACCAGCCUUGCCUUGCACAGC